This 934-nucleotide non-coding RNA is filed under the name Pristimantis pleurostriatus (side-striped robber frog). Its description in RNAcentral is "12S ribosomal RNA". It matches the Rfam family "Bacterial small subunit ribosomal RNA". The record is from RNAcentral. Lineage: Eukaryota; Metazoa; Chordata; Amphibia; Anura; Strabomantidae.
CAUACAGGAUUGGUCCCAGCCUUAAAAUCAAUUAUUUCUAGACUUACACAUGCAAGUAUCCGCACACCCGUGAAAACGCCCUUUAACCCACCUAGGGACAAGGAGCUGAUAUCAGGCACUAUCAUUCGCCCAAAACAUCUAGCUAUGCCACACCCCCAAGGGUAAUCAGCAGUGAUUAAAAUUAAAAAUAAACGUCAGUUUGAUUUAGUCAAUGAAAACAGAGCCGGCCAAUCUGGUGCCAGCCGCCGCGGUUACACCAUGAGACUCAAAUUGAUUUUACCCGGCGUAAAGCGUGAUUAAAGAUACACUUACUGGGGUUAAAUUUAAACUAAGCUGUGACACGCUUGUUCCCUAGAAGCCCACCCACGAAAGAUACCCCAACUCACCAACUUGAACUCACGAUAACUAGAACACAAACUGGGAUUAGAUACCCCACUAUGCCUAGUCAUAAACUCUAAUUUACACCCCCCCCCCCCAUCGCCAGGAGACUACGAGCAAAGCUUAAAACCCAAGGGACUUGACGGUACCCCACAUCCCCCUAGAGGAGCCUGUCCUAUAAUCGACACCCCCCGUUAAACCUCACCAUUUUUAGCUUAUCAGCCUGUAUACUUCCGUCGUCAGCUCACCGCAUGAGCGAAAUUUAGUAGGCUUAAUAUUACCGUAAAUACGUCAGGUCAAAGUGCAGCAAAUAAAAUGGCAAGAGAUGGGCUACACUCUCUAAUUUAGAAGAAACGAAAGAUUUUAUGAAAAUAUCACCUAAAGGAGGAUUUAGCAGUAAAAAGGAGAUAGAGAAUUCUUUUUAACUCGGCACUGGGGUGUGUACAUACCGCCCGUCACCCUCUUCAAAAAAUAAAACCCUAGUAUUUAACAACUAUAUUCAACUAGAAGAGGCAAGUCGUAACAUGGUAAGUAUACCGGAAGGUGUGCUUGGAAA